AGAGUUUGAUCCUGGCUCAGGAUGAACGCUGGCGGCGUGCCUAACACAUGCAAGUCGAGCGAUUCUCUUCGGAGAAGAGCGGCGGACGGGUGAGUAACGCGUGGGUAACCUGCCCUGUACACACGGAUAACAUACCGAAAGGUAUGCUAAUACGGGAUAAUAUAUAAGAGUCGCAUGACUUUUAUAUCAAAGAUUUUUCGGUACAGGAUGGACCCGCGUCUGAUUAGCUUGUUGGCGGGGUAACGGCCCACCAAGGCGACGAUCAGUAGCCGACCUGAGAGGGUGAUCGGCCACAUUGGAACUGAGACACGGUCCAAACUCCUACGGGAGGCAGCAGUGGGGGAUAUUGCACAAUGGGCGCAAGCCUGAUGCAGCAACGCCGCGUGAGCGAUGAAGGCCUUCGGGUCGUAAAGCUCUGUCCUCAAGGAAGAUAAUGACGGUACUUGAGGAGGAAGCCCCGGCUAACUACGUGCCAGCAGCCGCGGUAAUACGUAGGGGGCUAGCGUUAUCCGGAUUUACUGGGCGUAAAGGGUGCGUAGGCGGUCUUUCAAGUCAGGAGUUAAAGGCUACGGCUCAACCGUAGUAAGCUCCUGAUACUGUCUGACUUGAGUGCAGGAGAGGAAAGCGGAAUUCCCAGUGUAGCGGUGAAAUGCGUAGAUAUUGGGAGGAACACCAGUAGCGAAGGCGGCUUUCUUGACUGUAACUGACGCUGAGGCACGAAAGCGUGGGGAGCAAACAGGAUUAGAUACCCUGGUAGUCCACGCUGUAAACGAUGAGUACUAGGUGUCGGAGGUUACCCCCUUCGGUGCCGCAGCUAAUGCAUUAAGUA
Molecule: ribosomal RNA, 829 nt
Filed under: uncultured bacterium
Lineage: Bacteria
Description: bacterial SSU rRNA
Rfam family: Bacterial small subunit ribosomal RNA
Source: RNAcentral